UGCAAAUGAUGCUAAAAUCAAGGACUGUUUCUCAUAAAAACUAUAGUUGCCGUCUAAGAUCUUUCGCCCUGCUAGGUUUGAGAGCUGUUGCCAUAAAUCCUUUCCUUGGAUGUCUGAUGCA
This 121-nucleotide small nucleolar RNA is filed under the name Leersia perrieri. Its description in RNAcentral is "snoRNA SNORD14". It matches the Rfam family "Small nucleolar RNA SNORD14". From Rfam's summary of the family: U14 small nucleolar RNA (U14 snoRNA) is required for early cleavages of eukaryotic precursor rRNAs. In yeasts, this molecule possess a stem-loop region (known as the Y-domain) which is essential for function. Lineage: Eukaryota; Viridiplantae; Streptophyta; Magnoliopsida; Poales; Poaceae. The record is from RNAcentral.